Molecule: ribosomal RNA, 700 nt
Filed under: uncultured bacterium
Lineage: Bacteria
Description: bacterial SSU rRNA
Rfam family: Bacterial small subunit ribosomal RNA
Source: RNAcentral
AGUCGACGGUGAAGGGGAGCUUGCUUCCUGGAUCAGUGGCAAACGGGUGAGUAACACGUGAGUAACCUGCCCUUGACUCUGGGAUAACUGCUAGAAAUGGUAGCUAAUACCGGAUACGACCCUCGGCCGCAUGGUCAGGGGGUGGAAAGAAUUUUGGUCAAGGAUGGACUCGCGGCCUAUCAGGUAGUUGGUGAGGUAAUGGCUCACCAAGCCUACGACGGGUAGCCGGCCUGAGAGGGUGACCGGCCACACUGGGACUGAGACACGGCCCAGACUCCUACGGGAGGCAGCAGUGGGGAAUAUUGCACAAUGGGCGAAAGCCUGAUGCAGCAACGCCGCGUGAGGGACGACGGCCUUCGGGUUGUAAACCUCUUUUAGUAGGGAAGAAGCGAAAGUGACGGUACCUGCAGAAAAAGCACCGGCUAACUACGUGCCAGCAGCCGCGGUAAUACGUAGGGUGCAAGCGUUGUCCGGAAUUAUUGGGCGUAAAGAGCUCGUAGGCGGUUUGUCGCGUCUGCUGUGAAAUCCGGAGGCUCAACCUCCGGCCUGCAGUGGGUACGGGCAGACUAGAGUGCGGUAGGGGAGAUUGGAAUUCCUGGUGUAGCGGUGGAAUGCGCAGAUAUCAGGAGGAACACCAAUGGCGAAGGCAGAUCUCUGGGCCGUAACUGACGCUGAGGAGCGAAAGCAUGGGGAGCGAACA